GACGGAGGAUGCAAGCGUUAUCCGGAAUGAUUGGGCGUAAAGCGUCCGCAGGUGGCAGUUCAAGUCUGCGGUCAAAGACUGGGGCUUAACCCUGGAAAGGCCGUGGAAACUGAAUAGCUAGAGUGCAGUAGGGGUAGAGGGAAUUCCCGGUGUAGCGGUGAAAUGCGUAGAGCUCGGGAAGAACAUCGGUGGCGAAAGCGCUCUGCUGGACUGCAACUGACACUCAGGGACGAAAGCUAGGGGAGCGAAUGGG
RNAcentral lists this ribosomal RNA (253 nucleotides) under uncultured bacterium. RNAcentral's name for it is "partial 16S ribosomal RNA". It matches the Rfam family "Bacterial small subunit ribosomal RNA", at positions 524 to 776 of the family's 1533-position model. The record is from RNAcentral.